CCCUUCCAGUUCCCUUUCCCAUAGUGACUGACCACUAGUCUUGGUGGUGGUAAAGGAGGAAAAGUUAAAAAAAGUUAUAUCAAAACUUUCUAUCUUUUUUAACAAAAGA
RNAcentral lists this small nucleolar RNA (109 nucleotides) under Chinchilla lanigera (long-tailed chinchilla). RNAcentral's name for it is "Small nucleolar RNA SNORA61 (ENSCLAG00000021519.1)". The record is from RNAcentral. Lineage: Eukaryota; Metazoa; Chordata; Mammalia; Rodentia; Chinchillidae.